GAGCAUUGUUUCAUACAGUGAAGACUAUAUGAAUAUGGGAUUACUAUGUGUUGUAAUACCUACAACUAAGAGGCCUGGAUUAGUUUUUCCUUUUGAGCAAUCCCAUUAUUUUAAGUGGUAGAACCAAGGGUAUAAUCAUUUUCUCUUGUGCUCUUGUUUUGGGACAGUUUCAAGCACAUAGACAAUUGUACCCAUAACAACCACCAACAACUUUUUGUGGUUUUGGGGAUCAAACCCAGGGCCUCAUGAAUGCCAGGCAAGUGCUCCACUAACUACUGAGCUGCAUCCCCAGCCUUUUUCAUUUUUUGAGCCAGGGUUACACUAAGUUGCUUAGGCCUUGAUAAGUUGCUGAGGCUGGCCUUAAAUUUGGGAUUCUCCUGCCUCAGCUUCCCAGGGUUGGUUGCUGAGAUUGCAGUUCUAGGAGACUUUUUUUGGCCUCUGCUUUUUUUUUUUUCCCCUAGAUUUAUAUGUGGUGCUGAGAAUCAAACCCAGUGCCUCACACAUGACAGGCAGGUGCACUAUGGCUGAGUCACAGCCCCAUUAAGUUCUUUUUAUUUGAGACAGGGUCUCACUAAGUUGCACAGGCUGACUUUGAACUUAGAUCCUCCUGCCUCAGCCUCUCAACUCCUUGGAUUAUAGGCAUGAACCACCACUCCUGGUUUAUCUUUCACAUUUAAAAAAAAAAUUUUUUUUUCUUUUUAGUCGGACACAAUACCUUUAUUUUUAUGUGGUGCUGAGGAUCCAACCCAGGGCCUCGCAUGUGCUAGGCAAGCACUCUACCGCUGAGCUACAACCCCAGCCCCUAUCUUUCACAGUUUUAAAGAAGGCACUUUAAAACACUUCUAACUGGAGUCUAACUGGUAUGACACAUGUACUACUUUCCACUUUACUGUUAAUCUGAUAAGGUUACCUUCUGUGUUUAGUGUUUACAGAUGAAGAAACUUUUAAGCCAUUUCUGAUGUCUGUCAAUAAGGAGUAAGUGAACAUAGUCAGCUUUCAUAUUUGAUGUUUUGACAUGAUUUUAAAAAAGAACUUUUUUAGAGAGUUGGGUGUGGUGGUACCUGCAUUUAAUUCCAGCUGGGAGGCUGAGGCAGGAGGAUCACAAGUUCAAUGCCAGCCUCAGCAGUUUAAGGCCCUAUGCAACUUGGUGAGACCCUGUCUCAAAAUAAAGGGCUGAGGAUGUGACUCAGUGGUUAAGUGAGUUUGGGUCAAUCCCUGGUAAUAAAAACAAGCUAAACCAAACUUUUUUUUGGUUUAAGUCUCCUACUUCACUGGAAAUGAUUCUGUGUUGAAAAUUUGGUGUGAAUUCUUCCAGGACACCAUCUAGUGGUAAAGGGCUGGUAGCUGCAAGCCCCUUAGUGAGUAGGAUGGAUCAGUGGCAAAAUUGAACCAAUGCUGAUUUCAGAGGGAACUUGACCCUAAACUGAGAUUGAGAAGAAAAGUGAAACUGGUCAAACGAAGGUAAUAAAAUGAUGAUGUAGGAAUGGAAAGACAAGGGUCAAGCUACCUGGAGAGAGUGACACUGGGUAGGUCAGCCAGUAAGAUUGGACAUUUGCUUUGUUUUUGGUACUGGGGAUUGAAUCCUGGGGUGCUUUAUUACUGAG
This 1604-nucleotide long non-coding RNA is filed under the name Marmota monax (woodchuck). Lineage: Eukaryota; Metazoa; Chordata; Mammalia; Rodentia; Sciuridae. The record is from RNAcentral.